This 505-nucleotide ribosomal RNA is filed under the name uncultured bacterium. RNAcentral's name for it is "bacterial SSU rRNA". It matches the Rfam family "Bacterial small subunit ribosomal RNA", at positions 8 to 518 of the family's 1533-position model. The record is from RNAcentral.
AGAGUUUGAUCAUGGCUCAGGACGAACGCUGGCGGCGUGCCUAACACAUGCAAGUCGAGCGGAGACAUUGAGUAGCAAUACGAGGAUGUUUUAGCGGCGGACGGGUGAGUAACGCGUGAGCAACCUGUCCCAAACAGGGGGAUAACGAACCGAAAGGUUCACUAAUACCGCAUAAGACCACGGAGUCACAUGGCUUUGAGGUCAAAGGAGCAAUCCGGUUUGGGGUGGGCUCGCGUCUGAUUAGCUAGUUGGUGAGGUAAAGGCCCACCAAGGCGACGAUCAGUAGCCGACCUGAGAGGGUGAUCGGCCACAUUGGAACUGAGACACGGUCCAAACUCCUACGGGAGGCAGCAGGUGGGGAAUAUUGGGCAAUGGGGGGAAAAACCCCUGACCCAGCAACGCCGCGUGAAGGAAGAAGGUUUUCGGAUCGUAAACUUCUGUCCUUGGUGAAAAUAAUGAUGGUAGCCAAGAAGGAAGCCCCGGCUAACUACGUGCCAGCCGCAGC